Molecule: ribosomal RNA, 532 nt
Filed under: uncultured organism
Description: bacterial SSU rRNA
Rfam family: Bacterial small subunit ribosomal RNA
Source: RNAcentral
UUAGCUUGCUAGAGAAAGUCAAGUGGCGCACGGGUGAGUAACGCGUGGGUAAUCUGCCUCCGAAUCGGGGAUAACAUUGCGAAAGCGAUGCUAAUACCGGAUAAAAUCUGGUUGGCUUAGGUGAACCGGAUCAAAGGUGGUCUCUUUAUAAAAGCUACCGUUUGGAGAUGAGCUCGCGUACCAUUAGCUAGUUGGUGAGGUAAAGGCUCACCAAGGCGACGAUGGUUAGCUGGUCUGAGAGGAUGAUCAGCCACACCGGAACUGGAACACGGUCCGGACUCCUACGGGAGGCAGCAGUGAGGAAUUUUGCGCAAUGGGGGAAACCCUGACGCAGCAACGCCGCGUGAGUGAUGAAGGCUUUCGGGUCGUAAAGCUCUGUCAGGUGGGAAGAACCCACCAAGUGUUAAGACCACUUGGUGCUGACGGUACCACCGAAGGAAGCACCGGCUAACUCCGUGACAGCAGCCGCGGUAAUACGGGGGGUGCGAGCGUUAUUCGGAAUCAUUGGGCGUAAAGGGCGCGCAGGCGGUUU